RNAcentral lists this ribosomal RNA (465 nucleotides) under uncultured bacterium. Its description in RNAcentral is "partial 16S ribosomal RNA". It matches the Rfam family "Bacterial small subunit ribosomal RNA", at positions 28 to 507 of the family's 1533-position model. The record is from RNAcentral.
GACGAACGCUGGCGGCGUGCUUAACACAUGCAAGUCGAACGGAAAGGCCCUGCUUGCAGGGUACUCGAGUGGCGAACGGGUGAGUAACACGUGGGUGAUCUGCCCUGCACUUCGGGAUAAGCUUGGGAAACUGGGUCUAAUACCGGAUAGGAACCAUCUUUAGUGUGGUGGUUGGAAAGUUUUUUCGGUGUAGGAUGAGCUCGCGGCCUAUCAGCUUGUUGGCGGGGUAAUGGCCUACCAAGGCGGCGACGGGUAGCCGGCCUGAGAGGGUGUACGGCCACAUUGGGACUGAGAUACGGCCCAGACUCCUACGGGAGGCAGCAGUGGGGAAUAUUGCACAAUGGGCGCAAGCCUGAUGCAGCGACGCCGCGUGGGGGAUGAAGGCCUUCGGGUUGUAAACUCCUUUCGCUAGGGACGAAGCUUUUUGUGACGGUACCUAGAUAAGAAGCACCGGCUAACUACGUG